RNAcentral lists this ribosomal RNA (458 nucleotides) under uncultured bacterium. Its description in RNAcentral is "partial 16S ribosomal RNA". It matches the Rfam family "Bacterial small subunit ribosomal RNA", at positions 29 to 507 of the family's 1533-position model. The record is from RNAcentral.
AACGAACGCUGGCGGCAUGCCUAACACAUGCAAGUCGAACGAGACCUCCGGGUCUAGUCGCGCACGGGGGCGUAACGCGGGGGAACCUGCCCUUAGGCUCGGAAUAAAUCCCCGAAAGGGGUGCCAAUACCGGAAAAAGUCUUCGGACCAAAGAUAUAUCGACAUUGGAUGGGCCGGAGUCGGAUUAGCUAGUUGGUAGGGUAAAAGCUUACCAAGGCGACGAUCCGUAGCUGGUCUGAGAGGAUGAUCAGCCACACUGGGACUGAGACACGGCCCAGACUCCGGCGGUAGGCAGCAGUGGGGAAUUUUGGAGAAUGGGGGCAACCCUGAUCCUGCCAUGCCGCGUGCGGGAAGAAGGCCUUCGGGUUGUAAACCGAUUUUGUUCGGGAAGAAAUCCUCUGCGCUAAUACCCCGGGGGGAUGACGGUACCGGAAGAAUAAGCACCGGCUAACUACGUG